GUACAUGGCUAUACCACCCUGAAUGCUUGUUCAGAAGCUAAGCAGGGUCAGGCCUGGCUAGCCCUUGGAUGGGAGGAAGGGGCACUCCCUAAAGGAGCCCGCCCUGCUUCCUCUU
This 115-nucleotide ribosomal RNA is filed under the name Mus caroli (Ryukyu mouse). Its description in RNAcentral is "rRNA (MGP_CAROLIEiJ_G0034263.1)". The record is from RNAcentral. Lineage: Eukaryota; Metazoa; Chordata; Mammalia; Rodentia; Muridae.